GGCCUCCAGUUUCCUUCUCCAUUGGAUCAGAACACUGGUCUGCAUGGUCACAAAGGAGGAAAGUAAAAUUGACACUCACUUCAAUUCUGUUGGCACAUGCACGAGCUAGUUAUACACACCC
This 121-nucleotide small nucleolar RNA is filed under the name Echinops telfairi (small Madagascar hedgehog). RNAcentral's name for it is "Small nucleolar RNA SNORA61 (ENSETEG00000024152.1)". The record is from RNAcentral. Lineage: Eukaryota; Metazoa; Chordata; Mammalia; Afrosoricida; Tenrecidae.